GUGCAGCCUGUGGGUGUUGUGCGGCCUUCGGUUUUUCGCGAGUGGCAGCUUUCAAGCCUCGUUUGGAAGCGAGGAUACAUGCAAGCUGCGGUGAGCAGACUGUGUGCGAUGUUGUGGCGGAGGUAAUCGUGCACGCCGGGAUCCGUAACAAGUGGGUUCACUUCCCGUGGACGCCGGAUGAAAAGGCGGCCUUGAAUGUUUCCUACGGCUGCCGGCGUCAUCGGAUGCGUUGCCGUCAUCAUUGCACCGAAGGGUGACCAUCACAAGGCGGCAUUUUAUCCCCGCAAAGGACAUUAUGCCCACAUCGUCAUGCUAAUCUGCGACGCAGACAUCGGAAUCCUGCCGUGAACCACUGAGUCUGGGAUCAGACUACGACGCCCACGUCUGGCGGACAACGCGGCUGCGUGAGCGCAUCGAAGGGGCCCGGAUUGCCGCGGCCGUACCUUCUGGCUUCUAGGUGACAGAGGCUACAAACCAGGACCAUGG
Long non-coding RNA from Rhipicephalus sanguineus (brown dog tick), 486 nucleotides. RefSeq lists it as uncharacterized. NCBI's taxonomy places the organism in Eukaryota, Metazoa, Arthropoda, Arachnida, Ixodida, Ixodidae. The transcript has 3 exons. The record is from RefSeq and is a predicted model, not a curated record.